UACGAAGGGAGCUAGCGUUGUUCGGAAUCACUGGGCGUAAAGCGCAUGUAGGCGGCUGUGUCAGUCAGGGGUGAAAUCCCGGAGCUCAACUUCGGAACUGCCUUUGAUACAGCACGUCUUGAGUCCGGAAGAGGUGGGUGGAAUUCCUAGUGUAGAGGUGAAAUUCGUAGAUAUUAGGAAGAACACCAGUGGCGAAGGCGGCUCACUGGCCCGGUACUGACGCUGAGGCGCGAAAGCGUGGGGAGCAAACAGG
This 253-nucleotide ribosomal RNA is filed under the name uncultured bacterium. Its description in RNAcentral is "partial 16S ribosomal RNA". It matches the Rfam family "Bacterial small subunit ribosomal RNA", at positions 524 to 776 of the family's 1533-position model. The record is from RNAcentral.